CAGCUUUUAAAAAAGGCGGCGUAAGCUGUCGCUAUGGGAUGGCCCCGCGGUGCAUUAGCUAGUUGGUAAGGUAAAGGCUUACCCAAGGCGAUGAUGCAUAGCCCCGAGUUGAGAGACUGAUCGGGCCACAUUGGGGACUGAGACACGGGGCCCAAAACUCCUACGGGGGGAGGGGCAGCAGGUAGGGGGAAUCUUCCACAAUGGACGCAAGUCUGAUGGAGCAACGCCGCGUGAGUGAAGAAGGUUUUCGGAAUCGUAAAGCUCUGUUGUUGGUAAAGAAGGAUAGAGGUAGUAACUGGUCCUUUAUUUGACGGUAAUCAACCAGAAAGUCACGGCUAACUACGUGCCAGCAGCCGCGGUAAU
This 363-nucleotide ribosomal RNA is filed under the name uncultured Lactobacillus sp. RNAcentral describes it as "bacterial SSU rRNA". It matches the Rfam family "Bacterial small subunit ribosomal RNA", at positions 192 to 524 of the family's 1533-position model. Lineage: Bacteria; Bacillati; Bacillota; Bacilli; Lactobacillales; Lactobacillaceae. The record is from RNAcentral.